Nipponia nippon (crested ibis) is the source of this 47-nucleotide non-coding RNA. The record is from Rfam. NCBI's taxonomy places the organism in Eukaryota, Metazoa, Chordata, Aves, Pelecaniformes, Threskiornithidae.
UCAAAGGCGCCACUUGGCGCCACUGUUUAUAGGGUCAUGAGAUGAUU